RNAcentral lists this ribosomal RNA (429 nucleotides) under uncultured bacterium. RNAcentral's name for it is "bacterial SSU rRNA". It matches the Rfam family "Bacterial small subunit ribosomal RNA", at positions 355 to 775 of the family's 1533-position model. The record is from RNAcentral.
UGGGGAAUUGUUCGCAAUGGGCGCAAGCCUGACGACGCAACGCCGCGUGGAGGAUGAAGAUCUUCGGGUCGUAAACUCCUUUCGAUCGAGACGAAAUCCCUAGGAAUGAACAAUUCCGAGGGUUGACGGUACCGAGAGAAGAAGCCCCGGCUAACUCCGUGCCAGCAGCCGCGGUAAUACGGGGGGGGCAAGCGUUGUUCGGAAUUACUGGGCGUAAAGGGCUCGUAGGUGGCCAACUAAGUCAGACGUGAAAUCCCUCGGCUUAACCGGGGAACUGCGUCUGAUACUGGAUGGCUUGAGAUUGGGAGAGGGACGCGGAAUUCCAGGUGUAGCGGUGAAAUGCGUAGAUAUCUGGAGGAACACCGGUGGCGAAGGCGGCGUCCUGGACCAACACUGACACUGAGGAGCGAAAGCCAGGGGAGCAAACGG